Non-coding RNA from Durio zibethinus, 3237 nucleotides. The record is from RefSeq and is a predicted model, not a curated record. Lineage: Eukaryota; Viridiplantae; Streptophyta; Magnoliopsida; Malvales; Malvaceae.
AGUUAUUUUGUUGAGAGACAGUUAUCGCAUUGCAUGUAAGAUAAAAAAGAAGAUGUGGCAUUGCAUGAAGGAUGUGGUAAUCCAAGGAGAAGAAAAAGAUACAUUUGGCAUGUUAUGUGGCAUGAUGAUGCAUAGACCGGAUUCUAAGCAUUUGAUCGAAGAAUCUAAGAGUAGAGAUAUCGGUAUCUGUAAAAAAGAAAGUCUCAAUCGCCAAAAAGGAAUCUUCACCUUCUCCUGCUAAUAAUCCUUCUUCCACUGGUCUCCCAUUGGAUGAUGAGCAUGAGAACUCGGCAGUAACAAAAGCUUGAGCAUUAUUUCCUUUUAUUCAUUUGUUCUUUUGGGGGUUUAUAAGUCUGGAAAGCUUGAAAAUUUUCCAAUUUGAAAAAUUUUGGUGUUUCGGGAAUUCAACAAUUUGUGAGAUUGAGAGUCAGCGAGAAGAGAAGCUCCAAAUAGAUCUAAUGGCUUUUCCUCCGACUAGAUUAUCUUCAGAAAGGGAUGGUGAGAUUGAUUUUGGGCCUUCUGAUCUUAAACCAAUGGCCACAGAUAUGGAAUUGGAGAUGAAGGCUACCACAAUGGAAGAUGAAAGAGAGUGAAAAUCAGAAAGAAAGAUGUGAAUGUGGAAGCUGAGGAUAAUAAUAAGCCCAAACCGAUCGAUGAAGAAGCUAUAUGACAUAAACUAGUUGUAAAUAAACAAAGGAAUAAUGAUCUUCAGCUUGAUUUGGAGAAAUCUGAUAGAGAUAGUGGCACAAGUAGUGGUUGUGCGAACAAGCUCAAUCACCAUGUUCAAAAGUUGCAGCAUCAACAACCCAGUAUAGAGAAAACUGGUAAAAAUAAUCCUUUUUUUCCUUUUUCUGCUUGGGAAAAUUCCCUUGUCUCCAUGUGUUGCUGAUCUGGAGGUUUUUCUUUUUUUUUUUGCCUUCUACAGCACAAUCUGGUUCUUGACCUUUGCCGAUGUCAAAGGCUAGCUGGCCUGGUGGACUUCCUCCAAUAGGGUAUAGCUGGGUUGAUUUGAUAUUUGUUUUGUGGUUUUUUGGCAUUAGGAGAUCUAAACCAGUGAUUUAGAUGUUAUAAUUGGGGGAAAUGACUUUUUCUUUUCCUGAUCAGAUGCAUAGCGCCUCUACAAGGUAUUGUGUACAUGGAUGGUAACAUAGUAUCUUCUGUAGAUAUGCAGGCAUGUCGCUGUGUUCUUUAUAUUCACAAGUCUAGAUUUCUACUUCUUUUUUUUUUAUUAAUUUAUCUUGAAAUUUUGGACUUUUGCAGCCUCCACAGUUGCUUUUUACUCAACCAAGGCCAAAGAGAUGUGUGAAUUGUGUACAAGAUAAGGGGCAGAUGCCAGUGCACGGUUGAUAUCAAAUCAGUAGCCAAAUCACAAUGCCAGUUCUGCGCAUGCAUCCUCUUCUGAUGAUGAGGAAAAGAAUUCAACUUUGGCGGUUGUUGACAGGUCUACAAGGACCCCAUCUCAUCUGCAAAGACGAUCAGUAAUGGGGCCAGGGUAAGGGCUGGACAAGGGCAGCCGAGGAUGUCCAGGAUCAUUAGUGCAAUUGGUGGUGAGAGAGGUGCACAGGUGGUCGCUGGUUGGCCUUCUUGGCUAGCAGCUGUAUCUGGAGAAGCCAUCAAUGGGUGGAUACCUCAAAAGGUUGACUCAUUUGAAAGGUUGGAAAAGGUCACCAUAGCUGUAUCUUUCAUUAUUGAUUAUUGUGUUCUGUUCCAUUGCUAAUUGUAUUCAGUGGUUCAAAAACUUUUGUUUUUUCAUGUGUAUGCUUACUUUGAAAUUUAUAAUAUAUAUGGUACAUGCAGUUAAAAUGGCCUUAUGUUUCGUUGAUGUGCAUUUUCAUACACAUUAUUUCAUCCUGUGAGGGGUUGUAUCCCUUUGAUUUAUGUCAUAUUCCCUUUCCUCAUUCAUUAACUUGACUGUCCUGCUAAUUAUGUACAUAUUGGUCAAGGAACUUACAACAGUGUGUACAAAGCAUGUGACCUUGAAUCAAACAAGAUAGUUGCCUUGAAGAAAGUGCGAUUUGUUAAUAUGGACCCUGAAAGUGUUUGUUGCAUGGCAAGAAAAAUUAUUAUUUUGCGUAGGCUUGAUCACCCUAAUGUCAUGAAGCUUGAAGGUCUAAUUACUUCCAGGGUGUCUGGAAGUUUAUACCUUAUAUUUAAAUACAUGGAGCAUGAUCUUGCAAGGCUUGCAGCAAAACCUGGGGUUAAAUUCACUGCUCAGGUAUAUUCAUAUCUUCAAUAUAUUUGAUUAUAUCAUCAAUGUUGUUCAAAUGAGAAUAGAAUUGGUGAUUCUAUAAUCUUAUGGAAUUCAAAGGAGUAAUAUUCGUGGUGGAAGAACACAAUUUUAUAAGUCUGUUACAUCAUGAACUGUGACUGGAUCUUCAUUCGUUUUUGAUAGUACAUAUUUUGCACGAUAUUAAUCCAGGAAAACAAUCUUCAACAACUUCUGCAUGAAAAAAAAAAUCCAAUUUAUCCAAGGGUGUUCUUGGACCAAGCUAGGUCUCUAUGAUCUUCUUUUUUGAGUUUUUACAUUUCAUAAUUUGGUGUAGAAAUGCAAAUGAACUAUUGUUUUUGGGUGGUUCUUGAUGCAUUGGAUGCAACUAUUUGUUGAUUUUGGUAGAUGAAAAUAUAACAUGAUGUGUCUGAACAGUAGCAAUUAUGCUCAAUUAUGCUACUAUCUCUGUAGGUUUUGUUUCCUCUUAUGUAUGGUAGCUAAAAUUAUUACACUUUGCAGUCAAAGUGAGAAAGGCCAUAGUUGGUGCAAGAGCAGCAAACACUAUGCUCAGCAGUGUGCAAAUAUAUCCUAAGUUACAUCAUAGUCUUUUUUCUUUCUCAAACUUUACAACUAGACUGAAAGGAAUAUAAAUUAUGGUUGUUUAUGAUAAUUUGUGCAUCUGAAAUGCAGUUUAUAAUAUGAAAUUUAUGUUAUCACUUAUAAGUGGGAUUUCUUUUGCAGAUUGGGUAGCACUUCAAGGAUGGCUACUUGCAUAAAGAUGAAUUUAAAAUAGUUUAUGUUGCCCUGAUAAAGGUUGAACCCUCCAUAUAUUUUUCUAUCCCUUCCUUAGGAGGAUUGGUUGGUGAUUGACUACUUAUUUUUAAUUAUAUUUCCUAGACAUUAGAGUUUUGUUAGGAGGUUGGUGUCAAUUUGCAAUUGACAACAAUUUAAACCCAAGCAACCAUUGUAUUUUCAUGAAAAUUGGUCCAAAAAAAUUUUAAGUGAUUGCAUAUAAUGGUAAUUAGUAA